This 717-nucleotide ribosomal RNA is filed under the name uncultured bacterium. RNAcentral describes it as "bacterial SSU rRNA". It matches the Rfam family "Bacterial small subunit ribosomal RNA", at positions 46 to 774 of the family's 1533-position model. The record is from RNAcentral.
UCAUCAUUUUUGAAGCAAUUAGCUUGCUAAGGGUGGAAAUGUUGGUGACUUAGUGGCGGACGGGUGAGUAACGCGUGGGUAACCUGCCAUAUACAGGGGGAUAACACUUAGAAAUAGGUGCUAAUACCGCAUAAGCGCACAGGACCGCAUGGUCUGGAGUGAAAAACAUUAGUGGUAUAUGAUGGACCCGCGUCUGAUUAGCUGGUUGGUGAGGUAGCGGCCCACCAAGGCGACGAUCAGUAGCCGGCCUGAGAGGGUGGACGGCCACAUUGGGACUGAGACACGGCCCAAACUCCUACGGGAGGCAGCAGUGGGGGAUAUUGGACAAUGGGGGGGAACCCUGAUCCAGCGACGCCGCGUGAGUGAAGAAGUAUCUCGGUAUGUAAAGCUCUAUCAGCAGGGAAGAAAGAAAUGACGGUACCUGAGUAAGAAGCCCCGGCUAACUACGUGCCAGCAGCCGCGGUAAUACGUAGGGGGCAAGCGUUAUCCGGAAUUACUGGGUGUAAAGGGAGCGUAGACGGUGAAGUAAGUCUGGAGUGAAAGGCGGGGGCCCAACCCCCGGACUGCUCUGGAAACUAUUAGACUGGAGUGCAGGAGAGGUAAGCGGAAUUCCUAGUGUAGCGGUGAAAUGCGUAGAUAUUAGGAGGAACACCAGUGGCGAAGGCGGCUUACUGGACUGUAACUGACGUUGAGGCUCGAAAGCGUGGGGAGCAAACA